ACGGAAGGCAGCAGUGGGGAAUAUUGCACAAUGGGGGAAACCCUGAUGCAGCGACGCCGCGUGAGUGAAGAAGUAUUUCGGUAUGUAAAGCUCUAUCAGCAGGGAAGAAAAUGACGGUACCUGACUAAGAAGCCCCGGCUAACUACGUGCCAGCAGCCGCGGUAAUACGUAGGGGGCAAGCGUUAUCCGGAUUUACUGGGUGUAAAGGGAGCGUAGGCGGUUUUACAAGUCUGAUGUGAAAGCCCGGGGCUCAACUCCGGUACUGCAUUGGAAACUGUAGAACUAGAGUGUCGGAGGGGUAAGUGGAAUUCCUAGUGUAGCGGUGAAAUGCGUAGAUAUUAGGAGGAACACCAGUGGCGAAGGCGGCUUACUGGACGAUUACUGACGCUGAGGCUCGAAAGCGUGGGGAGCAAACAGGAUUAGAUACCCUGGUA
Molecule: ribosomal RNA, 434 nt
Filed under: uncultured Pseudobutyrivibrio sp.
Lineage: Bacteria; Bacillati; Bacillota; Clostridia; Lachnospirales; Lachnospiraceae
Description: partial 16S ribosomal RNA
Rfam family: Bacterial small subunit ribosomal RNA
Source: RNAcentral